GAUGAACGCUGGCGGCGUGCCUAAUACAUGCAAGUCGAGCGAACGGACGAGAAGCUUGCUUUUCUGAUGUUAGCGGCGGACGGGUGAGUAACACGUGGAUAAACCACCUAUAAGACUGGGAUAACUUCGGGAAACCGGAGCUAAUACCGGAUAAUAUCUUGAACCGCAAGGUCCAAAAGUGAAAGACGGUCUUGCUGUCACUUAUAGAUGGAUCCGCGCUGCAUUAGCUAGUUGGUAAGGUAACGGCUUACCAAGGCAACGAUGCAUAGCCGACCUGAGAGGGUGAUCGGCCACACUGGAACUGAGACACGGUCCAGACUCCUACGGGAGGCAGCAGUAGGGAAUCUUCCGCAAUGGGCGAAAGCCUGACGGAGCAACGCCGCGUGAGUGAUGAAGGUCUUCGGAUCGUAAAACUCUGUUAUUAGGGAAGAACAUAUGUGUAAGUAACUGUGCACAUCUUGACGGUACCUAAUCAGAAAGCCACGGCUAACUACGUG
Molecule: ribosomal RNA, 497 nt
Filed under: uncultured bacterium
Lineage: Bacteria
Description: partial 16S ribosomal RNA
Rfam family: Bacterial small subunit ribosomal RNA
Source: RNAcentral